UCAUAAUAUAUAAUUUGCAAUACAAUUAAGAAGCAUAUCUUUUAUUUGAUUUACAUUCACAUAGACAUAAGUACGAUGGUCUUGUCUUGAACACAACAUCAUAAGUAACAUAAAGCAUUGAAGUGCAAGAGCAAAGACUACUGAUUCAUUGCUAGGAAGUUGUAAACAUGACAAUGCAAGAAAACACAAAGCAGAAUCUCUUAUUAUUUAAGCAGUAAUAAGAUAAGAGAGGAUAUUGCAUGUUCUAGGCAUGGUUGUUGUCCUCCACUGGAGGAUACUUCCCAUAAGGUGGUUUCUUGUAUGGUGGCUUUUCGUAUGGUGGCUUGUAGUAAGGUGGUUUUGGCUUGUAAAUAGGAGGCUUGUAAAUUGGAGGCUUGUAAAUUGGAGGCUUGUAAUAGAUGGGAGGCUUGUAAAUGGGAGGCUUCUUGAUUGGUUUGUAAUAAGUAGCAAAACCUUGAGGAAUGAGGAUUAGGGCAGCAAGAACAAACACCAGAAAGCUUGAAAAGGAAGCCAUGUUAAAGAUUGGUGUGCAUAACAGACUGAGUAAUGUGUUCAUAUAUAUAGUAGUUAGGAGGGGUCAUUGUAGGUGUAAGGUCUAAAUCUAGGUCAUUAAUGAUUUGCUUUGUCAUAUUAUGGUAUUUGCCAAAGUUCGGUGUGAUUAUUCAAAAUUGAUUUAGAAAUUAUACAUUGAUAUACACAAAUAUUUUACAUUCAUUUAAUACUUGUUAUUUUUUACUCAAUUGUGCUAAAAAAUAUUUUUUAUAGUAAUUAAAAUCCAUGAGAUAUAAAAAAUGAAGCAGUGACACUAUUAUAGAUAUGAAAAGUUUUUUUAUUUGGAUUGGACUUAGAACUGAUGUAAAAAGUGGCUCAGUAACAAAAUUGUAAUAAAUUACAAUUUUUUUAUACCAAUUACACUCAUAAUUGAAUAGAAAGUCGAUUUUCUAUACUAGUUAGACUUAGAACCGAUAUAGAAAGUGUGGUGGUAACAAAACUAUAAUAUUAAACAAACUUUUCUAUAUUCAUUGCAAUCAGAACAAAUAUAGAAAGUUGUUUUUCUAUCCUGGUUAGUCAAUAUAACCGGGAUAUAAUAUUUAAUAUUCAUCUCCUUCUUCUUUUUGCGCUUCAAUUUCGCAAAACUCUUUUUCUUGUUCUCUCUAUGCUUCACCUUCAUUACUUUUCGCUCUCUCUGUGCUUGGCUUCCAUUCAUUCUUGGUCUCUCUACGUUUCCAAUAGUUCACUAAAGUCGCUUGUGCUAUCGUUUGUGGUUGUUGUUUUUGUCAUCGCUGUGGUCGUUGUUUGUUGUCGAUUUUUUAGUCGCGGUGGUUGUUGAAGUUAUCACUGUUGUAGGUCAAGUUGUGGUUCAUCUUUGUCAUCAAUGGUUGGUAUUGCAGUGCCUAUUUUCAUGGAGGUUGGAGUCGUUGUUGUGGUGUCAUUGUUAUCACUGCAUUUUUUCUUCCUCUUGCGUUGAAGCUUUCUUGGUUGCGUUGUUGGUGUUGUAGUAGUGUGGUGAGUAACACUAAAGCUUCCUUGUGUGGUAUGGUAGGUCGUUGCACGUGGUGUUUUUUUGAUCGUUUUGUUGUGGUUCUUGGCAAAUUUUAAACCUUAAUUUACUAUUGUUGAGGAUGUUGUGUUUUGACGUAUUUAUUGUUACAUUGCAUUCGUUGGGAGGAAAAUUUAAUAUUGUGAGGUUUUCCAUUUUUUGGAGCUUUCCAUGUUUGUGUUAUUGCAUUCAAUUGGUGUGAUUACUCUUUUGUGUUAGAAUUUAUGAGAAAAAAGUGAGGUAUAAAAAUCAAUAGGUUUGAAUCUCUACAAAUGAUGAGGCUGCAAGUGAGUAGAUUUUUGGUGGUGAUCAAAAUCACCAAAUAAGUUGUAGGCAAAAGAAAAAUGGAGAUCAAUACGAGUCCUAAUUAGAAAGACUAUUUGGGAAUGAGAUAUCAAUCUCUUAAAUACGUUGAAGUGAAGCGUAUUGAACUAAAUCCAUUGAUUAAUUCUUUAUGUUGUGGUUUGGUAUGACUAAGUUCACAUAUUGGACUCAUGUUUAACUGUUUCUUAGAUCUACCUAAAAGUAGAGGUGUUGGUUUUUACAUAUAAUAAUGGAUAGGUGUUGAAUAAAUUUUAUACGCAUAACAAAUGAAUAUGGGAGCAGAGUAGAACAAUUUCUUGAGUUUGCAAAGACAAGUGUUCUAGACAAUAACAAAAGAUUUUAUUGCUCAUGUGUUAAUUGUUUGAAUGGAUGAAAACUAUCAACUGAAGUUCUUUGGGAGCAUGUUGUUCUCCUAAAGUUACACAAAAUGGACAUGACAUAGUGAAUUAAUAGACACACCUAGUGCAUCCAGAAUGCACUAAGUAUACUUUAUUGUCAAUGGUAUCAAAACACUUUGGAGUCAUAUUAUAUGCAUUUGGAGUCAUAUAAUAUGCAUUUGCAUUCUUAAGAGAAGAUUCUCGUGAUUCUUGGAUUAUAACACUGAUUCUUAUCAAAGAUUAACAUCUUUCUGGAGAACUUUCACUCGACUUAUUAAUCUGCUAGAUUGUGGCUUCCCUAUCCUUGUCUCAUUCUGCAUUCUUCUAUGAUUUAUUCAAGAGAUAGUCCUCUAUUAUACCUUUUUUUCUUAAAAAGAAUUUUUCCUCAAAUUUGUAUAACUUAAAUAUUCCUUAUCAUUUUAAGAAGUUAGAACAACUAGAAAAUGAGGUUGUGGUCAUAUUAUGCCUAUUAGAUAUGUACUUUACACACACGCAGACAAGGACACACACACACAGACUCACAAAUACACAGUCACACACACAAACACACACACACACACAUAAACACACACACACACACAUACAUAAAUGGACAUGCGCGCGCACACACAAAGACACACACACCCAGAAACACACAUACAUAGACACACACACACCCACAAACACACAUACAUAGACACACACACACACACAAACACAAACACACAUACACACAAACAUAGACACACACACCCACAAACACACAUACACACAAACAUAGACACACACUCCCACAAACACAAACAUAAACAUACACACAAACACACACACACACACACAAACAAAUUGACAUACAGAUAGACACAUACAGACACACAAGAAGUCAUCCCAAAAGAAGUCAUCCCCUUCUUAAGUGCUCAUAAAUAUAUUGUUAAAAGAAAGAAAUAAUCCACGAAUACUUCAGAAGUUGGUUAUUAAUGAGCACAACAAAACCUUUUUAAAGUGGUUCAAACAACAUGUUCAAGCUUACCAUACAACCUCUGACACAUUAAAUUGAAUACCAAGUGAACCAAACUUUGAUGUCAUAUGUUGGAGUGGGUAUGAUAUGAAAAAUUAUACAUUUCAUACAAAGAAAAUGAAAAAAAAAACACCACUCACAAUAAUGGAGUAAUAGUUGUGGUUGAGUCAAUGCAUUUCUUGAGUUCAAAGGAUAAAAAUCCUUUUAUGGCAUCAAUGUGCUACUUUCGUGUUAUGGAAGAUAUUUGGGUGAUAGAUUACACAAGUUUCAGAGUACUUAUUUUUAAAUGGGUUGAUUGUAAUAUUGGCAUAAGGACCAAUGAUCUAAGUUUUACAUUGUGCAGAUAUUACAAUUCUUGUUGCUUUCUUGAUGCCUUGGAGAUUUCUUGAGACCUUUGAAUGUUUCUUGUUGUGUACUUGUACUUAAACUCAAUGCUUUGUUAGAAUAUUGCAAAUGAAAUUCGUAAUGAGACAGGUUUCAAUAUAGAUAUAUAUAGGAUAUGACAUUCUGGUGUAGUUUAAUUGAUUAGAUAAAAACCUUAAUCGAUUAAGCCGAAGUUUAUGUUUCAAUGACAUUAUGGUGCAGUUUAAUCGAUUAGGUAAAACCUUAAUUGAUUAGGCCAAAGUUUCUGUUUUAAUCGAUUAGGUUAUUAAUGUUAUCAAUUAAAACAGACAAUUUUGUCAUUUUUUUCUUCUUAUGAGUUCUGACAUGCUUUAACUGAUUGCUAACUAACAUAAUGGAUUAAUAGCAUCAAAAUUGCAGAUUGUAAACUGUCUAACCCAGUUACAUUCAUCUAUACAUGAUAUAUGUAUCUAACAUGAUUUUCCUAUGAUUUUAAACAUUGAUCCAUCAAGAAAGAACAUAUGAUUAAUUCAUCAUCAAAAACAUUUUACCAAAUUUAGAAGGGAAAAGCUCCCCCUUUCAACACUAACCGGUAUAAAAAGUUACUUUUUAUAUACAAAUUUAUCUCUUUCCUAAUAAACUUUUUAUAUCGGUUUCAGAUUCAGUAUAAAAAGUCAAAUACUUUCUAUACCGAUUCAAAAACUGGUAUAAAUUUUUUUUAACUCAUAUAAAAAAGCUUUUCUGAUAUAGUGACUCUUCCUUUUCUUUUUAAAAUAUAAAAGUUUAUGUUUUUAAGACUAUUUUAAUCUUAUAAUAUGUGUCAAAUGAAUAUAAAUGUAUCUUAUCCUACUAUGACUUGAUUUAGACCCUUUAGUCUUGUGUGGCAUUGUUGCAAAUCAAGAAUCUCAACAAAAUCUAUAUAUUUAUCCAUAAAGAUCUCUAAAGAAAUAUAUAAAAAAGGAAAACCCAAAAAUUAAUUUUUUUAUAAAUUACAAUAAUUUAUACGAGUUAGAAAUAAAAAAAAAAAUUGGUAACAAAGUUUUUUCAAUCAGUUUAAUCACUAAUUUCAUUUUUCGUAUUUUUUGUUUUAAAAGUUCUUGAAGAAAGAACUCGUACAAGAUUAAAUAUAUUUUUAAAAUGUAAAUUAAUUUAUGUAUACUAUACACAUAUAUACAGACUAUAUUACAUUUUGAUUUAUAUUUUAAUGAUAAAUUAAAAGUAUUAUUUUAAUUUAUUUAAAUACGACUACUAAUUUAAAUUCAAACAGAAAAAAUUAAAUAUAGUGGUGUUCCUUUCAAAUUAAAUUGAAACAUUCGAAACUUUUAAAUAUUAUUAAAAAUAAAAUAAUAUAUACGUUAAAAGAAGUUCUAUGAAUGUUUCUAAUCCAUAGAAUUUUAUAUGGUUUAUGAGUUGUUUUUAUCUUGUGAAUUUUUUUAAUAAAGGAUUUAUUUCAGCUGUCAGUUUUUUUAAUCCAAAUUCAUAUGGUGAAAUCCUAUAAAAUAAUACUAUAAAAUGCACUAAGACGUAUCUAAUUAACCAUAAACAUAAAGGUCUUUUUAUUCAUAAUUUUGUAGUACAAUUAAGAAGCAUAUUUUUUAUUUGAUUUACAUUCACAUAGACAUAAGUCUGAUGGUCUUGUCUUGAACACAACAUCAUAACUUACACAAAGCAUUGAAGUGAGCAAAGAAUACUGAUUCAUUCAUUGCUAGGAAGUUGUAAACAUGACAAUGCAAGAAAACACAAAGCAGAUUCUCUUAUUAUUUAAGCAGUAGUAAGAUAAGAGAGGAUGUUGUUGCAUGUUCUAGGCAUGGUUGUUGUCUUCCACUGGAGGGUACUUUCCAUAAGGUGGUUUCUUCUUGUAUGGUGGCUUUUUGUAUGGUGGUUUGUAGAAAGGUGGUUUUGGCUUGUAAAUGGGAUGCUUAUAAAUAGGAGGCUUGUAAAUUGGAUGCUUCUUGAUUGGUUUGUAAUAAGUAGCAAAACCUUGAGGAAUGAGAAUUAGGGCAGCAAGAAGUAACACCAGAAAGCUUGAAAAGGAAGCCAUUUUUAGGGUUGGUGUGUUAGCAGACUGAGUAAUAUGUUAGUAUAUAUAGUAGUAAGGAAGUUCAAUGUAUUAUGUAGGUGUAAUGUCUCAAUCUAGGUCAUUAAUGAUUUGCUUUGUCACACUUUGAUAUUUGCCAAAGUUUGGUGUGAUUAUUCAUCAUUGAUUU
Molecule: long non-coding RNA, 5787 nt
Filed under: Vigna radiata
Lineage: Eukaryota; Viridiplantae; Streptophyta; Magnoliopsida; Fabales; Fabaceae
Description: long non-coding RNA (VRAD_LNC003981)
Source: RNAcentral